Molecule: ribosomal RNA, 447 nt
Filed under: uncultured bacterium
Lineage: Bacteria
Description: bacterial SSU rRNA
Rfam family: Bacterial small subunit ribosomal RNA
Source: RNAcentral
UCGGGAAUCUUGGACAAUGGGCGCAAGCCUGAUCCAGCCAUGCCGCGUGAGUGAAGAAGGCCUUCGGGUUGUAAAGCUCUUUUACCAGGGACGAUAAUGACGGUACCUGGAGAAUAAGCCCCGGCAAACUUCGUGCCAGCAGCCGCGGUAAUACGAAGGGGGCUAGCGUUGUUCGGAAUUACUGGGCGUAAAGCGCACGUAGGCGGAUUGUUAAGUCAGAGGUGAAAUCCCGGAGCUCAACUUCGGAACUGCCUUUGAUACUGGCAAUCUAGAGUCCGGAAGAGGUUAGUGGAAUUCCCAGUGUAGAGGUGAAAUUCGUAGAUAUUGGGAAGAACACCAGUGGCGAAGGCGGCUAACUGGUCCGGUACUGACGCUGAGGUGCGAAAGCGUGGGGAGCAAACAGGAUUAGAUACCCGUGUAGUCCCUGAGCGGGCUGGCAAGGCGCAU